AUUUGUCCUUUGAACACCUAGAUCUGUCCUCAAACACGAAAAAGAAUAGUAGAAAAAAGAUGUUUAAACAGAAAGAUGACUGGUUGGAGAAAAAAAUGAAGUGCAUUAAUGGUAGUAGCUUGUUUCAUUGCAAAUAUGGUAUUUUAAGUUAGAGUCAACCCUCCAAGUGGAGUAUGGCAGGAUAAUUAUACAGUUGACUCACAUGGUAAUCCCACAUCAAUAUUUGAUACUCACAAGGCGGGAGAAUCCAUUUUCCCUCAUAAUCAUUUAGCAGGAUAUGGACAGUUCUUGAUUUGUAACUCAUUGCAUCACUCAGUAUCAUAUUAUUGUUGAUGAUUGGUAUACCUUUAAGGAGAAGAAUAUUUAUGUGGAUUUUGAUGGCGAUCACUUGGAUUGCAAUUA
Molecule: long non-coding RNA, 402 nt
Filed under: Olea europaea subsp. europaea
Lineage: Eukaryota; Viridiplantae; Streptophyta; Magnoliopsida; Lamiales; Oleaceae
Source: RNAcentral